This 402-nucleotide ribosomal RNA is filed under the name uncultured Perkinsidae. RNAcentral describes it as "partial small subunit ribosomal RNA". It matches the Rfam family "Eukaryotic small subunit ribosomal RNA", at positions 30 to 432 of the family's 1831-position model. Lineage: Eukaryota; Perkinsozoa; Perkinsida; Perkinsidae. The record is from RNAcentral.
GCUUGUCUCAAAGAUUAAGCCAUGCAUGUGAUCAGUGCAGUCCUUGUACGACGAAACUGCGAAUGGCUCAUUAAAACAGUUAUCGUUCAUUUGGUAAUCAUCUACUACAAGGAUAACUGUAGUAAUUCUAGAGCUAAUACUUGCGUUUUCCCGACUUCUCGGAAGGGAUUGCAUUUAUUAGAUACAAACCAAUCGGUGGUUUACCACUGCUAUAUGGUGAUUCAUAAUAACUAAGCGAAUCGCAUGGGCUCGCCCGGCGAUAGACCUUUCAAGUUUCUGAUCUAUCAGCUAUUGACGGUAGGGUAUUGGCCUACCGUGGCGAUGACGGAUAAAGGGGGAUUAGGGUUCGACUCCUGAGAGGGAGCCUGAGAAACGGCUACCACAUCUAAGGAAGGCAGCAGG